UCAUUGCUUGCGGUCGUCGCCUCGCUUAAAAUAUUAAAUAAGACUAGUAAAAUGCAAGAAAUCCAUAAAAUAUUCAACAGAUCUGAUGUGAAACUUUCGGGCAUUAUAUUAUGCCUGAAACCUGGAAUUCAGCAAGCAGCAAUAAGUUGAAAUGAUUGAAAAUUAAUGGGAUAACCAAACUCCACGUGUUGCAAGUGAGACACUUGGGGACAGGCUAAAAUGUUUCCACAUUUCUAAGAUUGAAAACGAUCAUCUAGGAGAUGAGAAAUCCUGCUCUUUCUUGUCACAACUUGGCUCCGCUUUAAGACAACUCUUUGUGCUGGAGUAAUUCUUUACAAAGCAUCGGACUAGGUUAAGACAGACGAAAAUUGUUUUAACUGUGUGCUUAUCUACUACCAAAAGGCAACUCUUUGCGCUGGAGUAAUUCUUUAUAAAGCAUCGGACUGGGAUAAGACGGACGAAAAUUGUUUUAACUGUGUGCCUAUCUAUGAUUGGAACUACCAAAAGGUAAUUUAAUUCCUCGAAUAAUUAAAAUUAAAAUAAAAUCCUUAAACUGAUGACAUCUAUCAUACCCAAAAACAGAGAAAUUUAUGUUGAAAUCUAUUUAACAUGCAUCACCAUCUGACUUGAAACACAAGAUUAACUAUGCCUAGGUUUGAAAACAUCUUAA
This is a long non-coding RNA of Drosophila serrata, 670 nucleotides long. Lineage: Eukaryota; Metazoa; Arthropoda; Insecta; Diptera; Drosophilidae. The record is from RefSeq and is a predicted model, not a curated record.